This 492-nucleotide ribosomal RNA is filed under the name uncultured bacterium. RNAcentral's name for it is "partial 16S ribosomal RNA". It matches the Rfam family "Bacterial small subunit ribosomal RNA", at positions 29 to 507 of the family's 1533-position model. The record is from RNAcentral.
AGUGAACGCUGGCGGUAGGCCUAACACAUGCAAGUCGAACGGCAGCACAGUAAGAGCUUGCUCUUACGGGUGGCGAGUGGCGGACGGGUGAGGAAUACAUCGGAAUCUACUUUUUCGUGGGGGAUAACGUAGGGAAACUUACGCUAAUACCGCAUACGACCUACGGGUGAAAGCAGUGGAUCUUCGGACCUUGCGCGAUUGAAUGAGCCGAUGUCGGAUUAGCUAGUUGGCGGGGUAAAGGCCCACCAAGGCGACGAUCCGUAGCUGGUCUGAGAGGAUGAUCAGCCACACUGGAACUGAGACACGGUCCAGACUCCUACGGGAGGCAGCAGUGGGGAAUAUUGGACAAUGGGCGCAAGCCUGAUCCAGCCAUACCGCGUGGGUGAAGAAGGCCUUCGGGUUGUAAAGCCCUUUUGUUGGGAAAGAAAAGCAGCAGGUUAAUACCCCGCUGUUCUGACGGUACCCAAAGAAUAAGCACCGGCUAACCUCGUG